RNAcentral lists this small nucleolar RNA (107 nucleotides) under Glycine max (soybean). Its description in RNAcentral is "snoRNA Plant_U3". The record is from RNAcentral. Lineage: Eukaryota; Viridiplantae; Streptophyta; Magnoliopsida; Fabales; Fabaceae.
ACUACCUUACUUGAACAGGAUCUGUUCCAUAGGUUCCUACCUCUGUCCUUGAGUUCUAAGGAGACAGGAACAUAUGUCUGGAAGAUUGUGUGAUUAAUGGCCUGAUG